Molecule: ribosomal RNA, 407 nt
Filed under: uncultured bacterium
Lineage: Bacteria
Description: partial 16S ribosomal RNA
Rfam family: Bacterial small subunit ribosomal RNA
Source: RNAcentral
AUUGAACGCUAGCGGGAUGCCUUACACAUGCAAGUCGAACGGAGUGGCGAACGGGUGAGUAAUGUAUCGGAACGUGCCCAGUAGCGGGGGAUAACUACGCGAAAGCGUAGCUAAUACCGCAUACUAUUGGAGCGGCCGAUAUCGGAUUAGCUAGUUGGUGGGGUAACGGCUCACCCAGGCGACGAUCCGUAGCUGGUUUGAGCGGACGACCAGCCAGACUGGGACUGCACAACGGCCCCAACUACUACGUGAGGAAGCAGUGGGGAAGUUUGUACAAGGGGGGAAACCCUGAGCCAGCCAUCCGGCGUGUGCGAGGAGGGCCUUCGGGUUGUAAAGCACUUUUGGCAGGAAAGCGGUACCUGCAGAAUAAGCACCGGCUAACUACGUGCCAGCAGCCGCGGUAAUAC